This 301-nucleotide ribosomal RNA is filed under the name uncultured bacterium. Its description in RNAcentral is "partial 16S ribosomal RNA". It matches the Rfam family "Bacterial small subunit ribosomal RNA", at positions 509 to 807 of the family's 1533-position model. The record is from RNAcentral.
CAGCCGCCGCGGGAAUACGUAGGUGGCAAGCGUUGUCCGGAAUUAUUGGGCGUAAAGCGUGCGCAGGCGGUUCGUUAAGACAGAUGUGAAAUCCCCGGGCUUAACCUGGGAACUGCAUUUGUGACUGGCGAGCUAGAGUAUGGCAGAGGGGGGUAGAAUUCCACGUGUAGCAGUGAAAUGCGUAGAGAUGUGGAGGAAUACCGAUGGCGAAGGCAGCCCCCUGGGCCAAUACUGACGCUCAUGCACGAAAGCGUGGGGAGCAAACAGGAUUAGAUACCCCGGUAGUCCCUGUCUCUUAUAC